GACGAACGCUGGCGGCGUGCUUAACACAUGCAAGUCGAGCGGUAAGGCCUCUUCGGGGGUACACGAGCGGCGAACGGGUGAGUAACACGUGGGUGACCUGCCCCUUACUCUGGGAUAAGCCUGGGAAACUGGGUCUAAUACCGGAUAUGACCUCUCAUCGCAUGGUGGGUGGUGGAAAGUUUUUUCGGUGGGGGAUGGGCCCGCGGCCUAUCAGCUUGUUGGUGGGGUGAUGGCCUACCAAGGCGACGACGGGUAGCCGGCCUGAGAGGGCGACCGGCCACACUGGGACUGAGACACGGCCCAGACUCCUACGGGAGGCAGCAGUGGGGAAUAUUGCGCAAUGGGCGGAAGCCUGACGCAGCGACGCCGCGUGGGGGAUGACGGCCUUCGGGUUGUAAACCUCUUUCGACCUCGACGAAGCGUGAGUGACGGUAGGGGUAGAAGAAGCACCGGCUAACUACGUGCCAGCAGCCGCCGUAAUAC
RNAcentral lists this ribosomal RNA (483 nucleotides) under uncultured bacterium. Its description in RNAcentral is "bacterial SSU rRNA". It matches the Rfam family "Bacterial small subunit ribosomal RNA", at positions 28 to 526 of the family's 1533-position model. The record is from RNAcentral.